Molecule: ribosomal RNA, 301 nt
Filed under: uncultured bacterium
Lineage: Bacteria
Description: partial 16S ribosomal RNA
Rfam family: Bacterial small subunit ribosomal RNA
Source: RNAcentral
CAGUAGCCACGGGAAUACGUAGGGUGCAAGCGUUAAUCGGAAUUACUGGGCGUAAAGCGUGCGCAGGCGGUUUGUUAAGACAGAUGUGAAAUCCCCGGGCUCAACCUGGGAACUGCAUUUGUGACUGGCAAGCUAGAGUCUGGCAGAGGGGGGUGGAAUUCCGCGUGUAGCAGUGAAAUGCGUAGAUAUGCGGAGGAACACCGAUGGCGAAGGCAGCCCCCUGGGCCAACACUGACGCUCAUGCACGAAAGCGUGGGGAGCAAACAGGAUUAGAUACCCCUGUAGUCCCUGUCUCUUAUAC